UAACUUAGUGGCGGACGGGUGAGUAACGCGUGGGUAACCUGCCAUAUACAGGGGGAUAACACUUAGAAAUAGGUGCUAAAACCGCAUAAGCGCACAGCUUCGCAUGAAGCAGUGUGAAAAACUCCGGUGGUAUAUGAUGGACCCGCGUCUGAUUAGCCAGUUGGCAGGGUAACGGCCUACCAAAGCGACGAUCAGUAGCCGGCCUGAGAGGGUGAACGGCCACAUUGGGACUGAGACACGGCCCAAACUCCUACGGGAGGCAGCAGUGGGGAAUAUUGCACAAUGGGGGAAACCCUGAUGCAGCGACGCCGCGUGAGUGAAGAAGUAUUUCGGUAUGUAAAGCUCUAUCAGCAGGGAAGAAAAUGACGGUACCUGAGUAAGAAGCCCCGGCUAACUACGUGCCAGCAGCCGCGGUAAUACGUAGGUUGCAAGCGUUGUCCGGAUUUACUGGGUGUAAAGGGCGUGUAGGCGGAGAUGCAAGUUGGGAGUGAAAUCCAUGGGCUCAACCCAUGAACUGCUCUCAAAACUGUAUCCCUUGAGUAUCGGAGAGGCAAGCGGAAUUCCUAGUGUAGCGGUGAAAUGCGUAGAUAUUAGGAGGAACACCAGUGGCGAAGGCGGCUUGCUGGACGACAACUGACGCUGAGGCGCGAAAGCGUGGGGAGCAAACAGGAUUAGAUACCCUGGUAGUCCACGCUGUAAACGAUGAAUACUAGGUGUGGGAGGACUGACCCCUUCCGUGCCGCAGUUAACACAAUAAGUAUUCCACCUGGGGAGUACGACCGCAAGGUUGAAACUCAAAGGAAUUGACGGGGGCCCGCACAAGCAGUGGAUUAUGUGGUUUAAUUCGAAGCAACGCGAAGAACCUUACCAGGCCUUGACAUCCCUUGCAGAGGUAUAGAGAUAUAUCCGAGGUUAUCAAGGAGACAGGUGGUGCAUGGUUGUCGUCAGCUCGUGUCGUGAGAUGUUGGGUUAAGUCCCGCAACGAGCGCAACCCUUGUGAUAUGUUACUAACAUUGAGUUGAGGACUCAUAUCAGACUGCCGGUGAUAAACCGGAGGAAGGUGGGGAUGACGUCAAAUCAUCAUGCCCCUUAUGGCCUGGGCUACACACGUACUACAAUGGCGUCUACAAAGAGCGGCAAGCCUGUGAAGGCAAGCGAAUCUCAUAAAGGACGUCUCAGUUCGGAUUGAAGUCUGCAACUCGCCUGCAUGAAGCUGGAAUUGCUAGUAAUCGCGGAUCAGCAUGCCGCGGUGAA
This 1254-nucleotide ribosomal RNA is filed under the name uncultured bacterium. RNAcentral describes it as "bacterial SSU rRNA". It matches the Rfam family "Bacterial small subunit ribosomal RNA", at positions 88 to 1366 of the family's 1533-position model. The record is from RNAcentral.